This 301-nucleotide ribosomal RNA is filed under the name uncultured bacterium. RNAcentral's name for it is "partial 16S ribosomal RNA". It matches the Rfam family "Bacterial small subunit ribosomal RNA", at positions 509 to 807 of the family's 1533-position model. The record is from RNAcentral.
CAGCAGCCGCGGUAAUACAGAGGGUGCGAGCGUUAAUCGGAUUUACUGGGCGUAAAGCGUGCGUAGGCGGCUUUUUAAGUCGGAUGUGAAAUCCCUGAGCUUAACUUAGGAAUUGCAUUCGAUACUGGGAAGCUAGAGUAUGGGAGAGGAUUGUAGAAUUCCAGGUGUAGCGGUGAAAUGCGUAGAGAUCUGGAGGAAUACCGAUGGCGAAGGCAGCCAUCUGGCCUAAUACUGACGCUGAGGUACGAAAGCAUGGGGAGCAAACAGGAUUAGAUACCCCCGUAGUCCCUGUCUCUUAUAC